CCUACGGGUGGCAGCAGUGAGGAAUAUUGGUCAAUGGCCGUAAGGCUGAACCAGCCAAGUAGCGUGAGGGAAGACUGCACUAUGGGUUGUAAACCUCUUUUAUGCGGGGAUAAAGGUGUCCACGCGUGGACGUUUGCAGGUACCUCAUGAAUAAGGACCGGCUAAUUCCGUGCCAGCAGCCGCGGUAAUACGGAAGGUCCGGGCGUUAUCCGGAUUUAUUGGGUUUAAAGGGAGCGUAGGGCGGUCUUUAAGCGUGCCGUGAAAUGUUGGGGCUCAACCAUGAGAGUGCGGCGCGAACUGGAGAUCUUGAGUGGGCGGAAGGCAGGCGGAAUGCGUGGUGUAGCGGUGAAAUGCUUAGAUAUCGCGAAGAACCCCGAUUGCGAAGGCAGCCUGCCG
RNAcentral lists this ribosomal RNA (396 nucleotides) under uncultured bacterium. RNAcentral's name for it is "partial 16S ribosomal RNA". It matches the Rfam family "Bacterial small subunit ribosomal RNA", at positions 338 to 731 of the family's 1533-position model. The record is from RNAcentral.